Molecule: non-coding RNA, 296 nt
Organism: Pelobates cultripes (western spadefoot toad)
Lineage: Eukaryota; Metazoa; Chordata; Amphibia; Anura; Pelobatidae
Source: the annotation of a GenBank genome assembly
GUUUAGACCCUGCGCAUUAACAGAUAUCAACUUAAACAUUUAACUUUAAACAAAUACAGUAAAAACCUAUUUUAUGGUGGUCCAACCAGUCAUACAAACAUACAACAUACAACAAAGCUGUGUUUGAUCAAAUAGAGCUAACUGAUCCAGCAGUGCACGGACAGAGGCAUCAGUACAUUGAUAGCUGUAGAGACUAAUAUCUCAGUACCGGUAGGGAGGAAAGAAGAGGGACAUUCAUUUUGGGAUAGUGCCCAACUAACUCUAUUCUUUGGAUUUUAUUGUAUGUAUUGGGGCUG